GACAGAGGUGCCGAGCGUUAGGCGGAAUCACUGGGCUUAAAGCGUGUGUAGGUGGAUGCCUAAGUACCUUGUGAAAUCCCACGGCUUAACCGUGGAACUGCUUGGUAUACUGGGUGUCUUGAGCCAGCUAGGGGCUACCGGAACAAAUGGUGGAGCGGUGAAAUGCGUAGAUAUCAUUUGGAACGCCAAUGGUGAAAACAGGUAGCUGGGGCUGUGCUGACGCUGAGACGCGAAAGCGUGGGGAGCGAACAGG
Molecule: ribosomal RNA, 253 nt
Filed under: uncultured bacterium
Lineage: Bacteria
Description: partial 16S ribosomal RNA
Rfam family: Bacterial small subunit ribosomal RNA
Source: RNAcentral